RNAcentral lists this ribosomal RNA (253 nucleotides) under uncultured bacterium. RNAcentral's name for it is "partial 16S ribosomal RNA". It matches the Rfam family "Bacterial small subunit ribosomal RNA", at positions 524 to 776 of the family's 1533-position model. The record is from RNAcentral.
UACGUAGGGGGCAAGCGUUAUCCGGAAUUAUUGGGUGUAAAGGGCGAGUAGACGGGAAGAUAAGUUAGUUGUGAAAUACCAUGGCUCAACUAUGGGGCUGCAACUAAAACUGUCUUUCUUGAGUGCAGGAGAGGAAAGUGGAAUUCCUAGUGUAGCGGUGAAAUGCGUAGAUAUUAGGAGGAACACCAGUGGCGAAGGCGACUUUCUGGACUGUAACUGACGUUGAGGCGCGAAAGUGUGGGGAGCAAACAGG